Long non-coding RNA from Clupea harengus (Atlantic herring), 1067 nucleotides. The record is from Ensembl. Lineage: Eukaryota; Metazoa; Chordata; Actinopteri; Clupeiformes; Clupeidae.
UCUCUCUCUCUCUCUCUCUCUCUCUCUCUCUCUCUCUAUCUCUCUCUCUAUUUUUAUGUCUCUCUCACACACACACACACACACACAAAUGCACUGACGAGUGGUUCAGCCCUGAGGCAGCCCAGGCAGUCAGCGAGGGAAAUUUAGAUGGGAGGGAAACAGCAAGCACAAAAGGGUCAUGAUGUAACCACAGGAACAGCAGCACAACAACAAAUGACCAAGAGAUACCGAGACGUCAGACAGAUAUGGUGAUAUCUUCCACUGUGUGCACAGAAUGAGGCUUUGACACAUGCAUCACCAGGAGGAAUGACACGAAAGAUAAGUAAUCUCCUGCUGGGGCACAGGAGAAGACCCGGUGAUUGUGAAGGCAGCUGGUGUGCUGGUCUGGAGAAACGGCUGUCUUAACAGGGAUUUGUGUUUCUCACAUGGUUACUUCUCACCAUGAAAAACAAAGCAGCUGUUGUUUACCUCCAACAGUCAUGAUCUAAACAGAGUCUGCAGCCAUUUCCACAGGACCUCAGCUGCUGUGUCAGUGUUGUGAUUUGCUCCGAGUUGAUAAAUAUUCUCAUUUGGGCAGACUGAAGGUCAGCUUCACCUAUGGGGGGCCGGAGGAGGCCUUUACUCACGAGCCUGUCCGGCUUUGUGCCCCGCCGCAGACCCUGUUCCUGACCAAGUGACGGCACAGAGGGUGGAAAGCUGCAGACAUGUCCCACUUUCACCUCGGUGUCAGAGCACUCAGUCUGUCCUCCUAAGUGACUACAGAACAGUGGCAGUGAGAGUCAGUGGGGAAACAGUGGUUGUGUUCUGUACUAGAGACUAGGAGGGGUGUGGUGCGGCGUGGUGCGGUGCCGCGUGGCGGAACAACGACGAAGAGCCAGCAGGGUCACAUUCCACAGGGAGCUGGUUGGCAGACGGAGGGGCCCGCUUGGAUCAACUCUACAACACUGUUCCUCUCGGCUGUUCCUCUACAGGCACGCACACACACACACACACACAGAUAUGUGUACACACAGACAUGGUAUAUCUCACUACACAGUGUGAUUGUGACAUGUCCAGCAUUCACUGUA